This 654-nucleotide ribosomal RNA is filed under the name Triticum aestivum (bread wheat). RNAcentral describes it as "partial small subunit ribosomal RNA". Lineage: Eukaryota; Viridiplantae; Streptophyta; Magnoliopsida; Poales; Poaceae. The record is from RNAcentral.
AUGUCAGAAAAAUUGGCGCACCGAGACGCGAUCUGUCUCUCUCUUGGCAAGGUAUGGUGUCCGAUUAAAGGGAUCGACUGCAGAGAGAUUGGGGCCAACCAGUUCCUAUUCACUUUCCACCAAGAGACGGGGAAGCGUAAGGCGAUCGAGGAUGGACCAUGGAUGUUUGAUAAGAAGUUGGUAGUGGUUGAGGAUUAUGUGCCCAGUAAAAGGCCAGAAGACUAUGCUCACAACAACAUCCCCAUCUGGGUUAGGAUUUAUAACCUACCCCUCAGUAUGAUGAACGAAGAAGCUGCAGAGGACAUAGGAAACAUCAUAGGCAUGUAUGUGGAGGCAGAUACUGGACCAUAUGGGAAAGCUUUUGGAAGGUUUCUUAGAGUCAAAAUCAGGAUGCAGAUCGACAAGCCAUUGAUGAGGGGUUUUACUCUUGACGAAGAAGCUGCUGUGGGAGAGGAAAGGGACAAUGGGAAGGCAGACAUGGUGAGUGGUGAUGGAAAGGAGGAGAAGGGCUGGUGUCGGCUGGAGUAUGAGUUUUUGCCAGAUUUUUGCUAUACUUGUGGGACUAUUGGCCAUGGAGAGAAAGAUUGUACCAUCAAACUUAAGAAGGGAGAACAUGCCCAAUUUGGUCGGCGGUUGAGAGCGGGAUGUAGGUGA